This 510-nucleotide ribosomal RNA is filed under the name uncultured bacterium. Its description in RNAcentral is "partial 16S ribosomal RNA". It matches the Rfam family "Bacterial small subunit ribosomal RNA", at positions 28 to 507 of the family's 1533-position model. The record is from RNAcentral.
GACGAACGCUGGCGGCGUGCUUAACACAUGCAAGUCGAACGAAGAGCGAUGGAAGCUUGCUUCUCUCAAUCUUAGUGGCGAACGGGUGAGUAACGCGUAAUCAACCUGCCCUUCAGAGGGGGACAACAGUUGGAAACGACUGCUAAUACCGCAUACGAUCUAAUCUCGGCAUCGAGGAUAGAUGAAAGGUGGCCUCUACAUGUAAGCUCCCACUGAAGGAGGGGAUUGCGUCUGAUUAGCUAGUUGGAGGGGUAACGGCCCACCAAGGCGAUGAUCAGUAGACGGUCUGAGAGGAUGAACGGCCACAAUGGGACUGAGAAACGGCCCAGACUCCUACGGGAGGCAGCAGUGGGGAAUCUUCCGAAAUGGACGAAAGGCUGACGGAGCAACGCCGCGUGAGGGAUGACGGCCUUCGGGUUGGAAAGCUAUGUUAAUCGGGACGAAAGGCCUUCUUGCGAAUAGUGAGAAGGAUUGACGGUACCGGAAUAGAAAGCCACGGCUAACUACGUG